AUAUUUUUUAUAAUAAUUAUUAUAAAAUCUUAUAUUAUUAUAUUAUAUUAUACAUUUUUUAACAUCGAGAUGGAGAAGGAGAGGAACCAGAUCCGCUUCGAGAUGCGAGGUCUGCUGGUGAACAAUGAAGAUCUGCUGCGGACGAACACACAGAUGCAGGGCGAGACGAACCGGCUGCGGGAGAAGAUCGUGGAGUUAGAGAGCAACAACAAUGUCCUGCAGGAGCGCUUCAGACAGAUGGAGGUACAAACACCACAUACAACACCCUAAACACACGCCGUCAGCAGAGCCGUGAUCCUCAUCAUCAACACGCCUGUGUCUGUGUGUGUCUGUCUGUGUGUGUCUGUGUGUCUGUGUCUGUGUCUGUGUCUGUGUAGGCGCGGGAGGUGAUGGUCGAAGCAAACACUCAGGAAUACGCCUUUAACUUCCUGCAGCAGACGCUCAAGAACAAAAUACAGGACACUGAGGAAGCUCUGGAGAAACAAGCUCAACACGCUCAGACUGUGUCAGAAAAACUGUGGCUCACCGAGAGAAACCUGGAGGAGCUGGAGCUGGAGAAAGAAACUAAAGCAAAGAAAACUCUAGAACUCAGUAGCACUGUUUUCAGACUGGAGACAGAGGUACACACACACACAGACACUCACACAGACACUCACACAGACACACACACAGAGUUACACACACACACACACACUCAGGCACACAACACACACACACACACUCAGACACACAACACACACACCACACACUCAUACAACACACAACACACACACACACACACUCAGACACACAGACACACACACACGAAAGACCAGGAGCUGCUGCGCCUCACACAGAUCGUCAGCAGACUGCAGGGAGAGGUCCGAUUAAUGCACAUUCAUAUCUGCAGGAAAUUAAAUUCAUCAUCAAAGACACAUUAAAUUGUUAAAAAGUGACAGUAGAGACAUUUAUAAUGUUACAAAAGACACACUCACACUCACACUCACACUCACACUCACACACACACACAGACACAGAAACACACACUCUCACACACACACACACUCAGACACACACACACUCACACACACGUUUGGCUUGUAGGUGUUUUAAACAUAAUUUAAU
This 1104-nucleotide long non-coding RNA is filed under the name Sinocyclocheilus anshuiensis. RNAcentral's name for it is "lncRNA (ENSSANG00000037774.1)". Lineage: Eukaryota; Metazoa; Chordata; Actinopteri; Cypriniformes; Cyprinidae. The record is from RNAcentral.